UGUAGCACAGUGGUAGAGUGCUUGCCUAGCAAAUGUGGAGCCGUAGGUUCAAUCCCCUCUGCUACAAAUUAAAUAAAGAACAUAGCAGAUGGUCCCUUGAAGGAAAGAACAGGAUUUGUGACAGGUUAGGGUCAUUCAUUGUUUUCAUGGAGGAAGAAAAUAAAUGCCUGGUCAUCCCACCUAAGAGGACCAGCAGCAAGGAGGGCAGAGCAAGGUCAGAGGAUGGGAAGGGAGGUGGGUAGACAGACAGGAUUCAUCAAGUCCAGAGGCUGAUCUCUUUCCAAUGGGCACAGAGCCCCUUAUUCUGCAGGCCACGAUGCAUUGUGGGCAUGAAGUAAAUGGAGGUUUCCGAGCAUCCUGGGACUUUGGCCUCAAUGGACAGAAAAUGUUGCAUUUUGACUCAAGCACUAGAAAGUUUACUGAAGUUGAUUCUGAAUCCAGCCAGUUGAAAACUAUGUUGGAGGAAGUAACUGACUUCUUAUACUGGACCUCACGGGGGGACUGUAGGUCCUGGCUUGAGGAGUUCAAGUCACACUGGGAAGAAAAGCUGGAGCCUACAGCCUCGUCAAAUGCUGCUCCGGAUGUGGCAAGCAAGUCCAACAUCUCUGUCCUGCUGAUGAUCCUCAUCUGCUGCCUCCUGUUUCUCUUACAAUAUUUGUGAUGACAGGUUGAAGAUGCUGCAGAGGAGGUCGUGAGAGUUCAUCUGGUGCAGCCACUCUCCCUCUCGUCGGCCUCAACCAGAUGAAUCAUGGUGCUGCCGACACAGUGUGUCAUGAUCUUUCACUCUGUGCUGCUCACUUGGGUCUUUCUUACCACCUUGUACUGUUUCCUUGGUGCUCCUUGGAUGGAUUAUGCUCUUAACAUGGAUCUCAACCUCUGGAAAAGAACAUGGUUGUGUACCAAUUCCUAGCAUAGGAAACAGGACAACCAGAUCCCUUAGUGGGAGUGUGAAGUUUUUACACUUGCUUAUAUAACUGGCAAUAAUCAAUUAUCUCAGAUGUCACCAAAAGAAACCUGUAACAGCUAAUGAUAGAAAAUGGAAAUUGAGAACUAGUUGUUUAGUAGAAGUCACUGGUAACUGUAACACAGUCCCAGACCUUAGCACAGCUAACUCCAUCAUGCAACUGCCAUUCAAGAGGCAAAACUCAGCACACAGACAGCACCACCUGUCAUAACUAAAACAAAGGCCUGAUCCAUCCCAGUCCAUAGUUAAGGGAAGUCUCUGAAUGUACUAACCUUACCUUUUGACUUCUGUAUUUCCACUUCUGGCUAACCAUUCUUGUUAACUGAAGUAUGUCGACCCAAAGCAUGGGUUUUUGUGCUUGAAAGCUCUACCUUAGGGUCGGUGCUACACUGGGAUCCCAAAUACCAUUGUAGUUGCUAACUAGCUAAUAAAAAUUUUCUAU
This is a non-coding RNA of Peromyscus maniculatus bairdii (prairie deer mouse), 1406 nucleotides long. The record is from RefSeq and is a predicted model, not a curated record. Lineage: Eukaryota; Metazoa; Chordata; Mammalia; Rodentia; Cricetidae.